Molecule: unclassified non-coding RNA, 778 nt
Filed under: Hevea brasiliensis (rubber tree)
Lineage: Eukaryota; Viridiplantae; Streptophyta; Magnoliopsida; Malpighiales; Euphorbiaceae
Source: RNAcentral
GCUUUAUACAACUACACGAAUAUUGCUAUCUAACUUGGUGAUUUCUUUCCCAUGCCUAUUUUAUUCUCGUGAAUUUGCAUCCAUUAUUCUAAAAAAAUUAUUACGUUUGCUGCAGAAUUGAGCUUAUUAAUGUGAUUUUGUUUCCCAUAGUUUGAUUUUGGUUUGGAUAAUGCAAUGACUAAAUGUGGGAUAAGGGUUAAAAAAGGCCUCAUGUUUGAGCAAAAAGUUCAUUCGGCCUUUGAUGUAAAAGUUGGAUCAAUUAAGCCUUUUUACAUCCUAAGGGGAGGUGUUCUUUACAGAAGGAAAGAAGCAGGGGGGUAUGACUAAAUCUCGAUUUUAGGAAUUGGAGGUGAGAGAGAGAGGACGAUGCAGAAAGGAAAGGGGGAUUAUUGGCCACAUAAACAGCCCAAUUCAUUGUCGUCUCUCAACAUAUGCUACACAUGCUUCUUUUUCAUGAAAUUGAGUUAAAAUUAGGAUGUAAAGGGACCUAACUUAAACAUUAAAGGCCAAAUUGACUUUUGGCUCAAACAUGAGGGACUUUUUACCCUUAUCCCACUAAUUAUUGUGUGGAUUGGUUUACUCUGAUGUGUGCCUAUUUAAUUGUCUGCUUGUAAGUUUAAAUCCUUUUGAGGUAGAGCUCAAGACUUAAUGUGAUUUCUGGCGUUCCUAUGCAUUAAUGGUGAUCUAACAUUUGUAGUUAUAUCUUUGUCUUGUUACCACUUAUCAUGGAUAAGAAAUGUUUUUGCUUUCAAUUAUUAAUAUUAAUGCGUUAUUAAAA